GUGCAGAAGUAUGAAUAUUUCGGUUUCCCACCGGCGUAUGUGUCGGCCCCCGGAGCACGAGGUAUUUCUCAAUCACUGCUCCGAGAGCACCGUAGUUCUUCUCCCUUCAAGGACACACCCACCAUCUUCUCUCUCUCUCUCUCUCUCUCUCUCUCUCUCUCUCUCUCUCUCUCUUCUCACCAGAGAUUCCGUGUGCAAGACGUCU
Caenorhabditis elegans is the source of this 205-nucleotide non-coding RNA. Lineage: Eukaryota; Metazoa; Nematoda; Chromadorea; Rhabditida; Rhabditidae. The record is from Ensembl.